This is a long non-coding RNA of Loxodonta africana (African savanna elephant), 2848 nucleotides long. RefSeq lists it as uncharacterized. The record is from RefSeq and is a predicted model, not a curated record. The transcript is spliced from 4 exons. NCBI's taxonomy places the organism in Eukaryota, Metazoa, Chordata, Mammalia, Proboscidea, Elephantidae.
UGUAUGCUCUCCUCGAGCUUUUAUUGACGUUUUCCUUGGCCCCUUCAGUAUUUCUCUUUGCAAAAUGUAGCCAAGUUCUUGUUACCAUUGUUUUUAAGGAAAUAUUUUUGUAGGUUGAGAAAAAAUUAAAUACCACAGUAUGUGCUUACUGUGGGCAAUGUACGGCAGCUUGGAAUUUGUAGGGUUCCAGACUGUCAGUAUAAGUCAGGAAAGGGCUCCAGCUGAGAGAAAGUGCAAGUAAAAAUGAUGGACAGAAAGUAGACCAGAGGCCAGGAGAGAGGAAUGGGGAGCUUCCUAGCAGGAGAACCCCAAACAGCACAUAUUUUGGGUAGGGACCACCCACAGAAGGUGGCAAUCUUGAGGACGAAAGCGCUGGUGGGGCUGUGUAUAUGUGUGUGUGUGUGUGUGUGUGUGUGUGUGCAGACAGAGAGACAGAGGAGGGGUGGGAGGUGGGGAGGCAGCAUUUCCCAUUGAGAUUUUUUUUCAGUCUUUUAUUCAGAAACUCCUCCGUGAGUCCAGCCUCUGUAAACAUACCUGUAUGCCCAAUUACAACAUACAGCUCAAGGAGUAUAGGGACCUGCUUGUUCUCAGAAUUGUAUUUAACUAGUUUUUUUCUUUUUUUUAAGGAGGCCUCAGAUAUACCUUCAUACUUCAGGCUCUCUUCUGCACAUGCGUAUGAAUUAUAGGCAUCCCAGGUUCUCAGUUACUUCCAAAAGGUCCUGGUUUCUUCUGGGAAUUAAAUCUAUUCCAGUUUUUUUGAACUUCACAUAUUUAGUUCAUGACAUGGGAACUCUGGAAAUGUUAAACCUAAAACUUGGUGCGGAUUGUUGUUAGCAACUUGGGACUGGUCUGAAACCCCCAUUCAUCCUGAGCAGCUAGGGGAAAGCGCAGUUGCAAAGCCUGCCGGCUGUCUACCCGCAGCUAUAAAUAGGAGCGGUUUGUUUUGCAGCCCCAGCACUUAGGCACCAAAUAUUUGCAGGGUGGAUGUUAUCGCAUCCCUGCUAUCUGCAUUUAUGUGGACCCUGAAGCCCACGCUCUGCUCUCUGCUUCCUGUUGGUAUUUGCAGCACUGUUGCCAUCAGAGAGGGACGACCUAUAGCAGCAUGGACGUGAUGGGCUCACGUAGGUGUUACCAUUAUGGAUGUCCAUGUGAGAAUAAAUACUAAGGUGCCUUCCUACCAGAGACAAAGACAAAAGCCAAACACGCAACAAUCAAGCUCACCAGCCACGAAGGCUGCCCAAGCCUAUGUUUUGCGGAAGUUUUUAUCUGAAUUUGCAAAUCUAAGCGGCUCAGAUUCUUCAAGAGGAGUUUGAUUAAAUAUUUGGAUUGAAGGCUACUUCUGAGAAAACUUCAAGAUAAAACAUCAAAGCAUUAAAACCGCAGGGCGCAGAUAACCUGCAGGAAACAGAAGACAGAGAUGCUCAGAGCUGAUAAGAGUCAAAUAGGCACUGGCUUUGGCUCCAGGCUCCCUGGCGACUCCUGGAUAACAGAGAAAAAAAUUUCUCCUUGCGAUUGGGCUACAGUGUUGCUGUUGUUUAAAGAAGUGAACAUGAAAAUUAGGCUACUUCUGUAAAAUUUUUCCUAGAACUAAACUCAGACUCCUGUAUCAGACUCAUUUAUCACAUGGAUCCUUGUAAAAGGGCAAUAGAGUGACCCAGACAACAUUUUCAGCUAUCAUUGUACAAGACAGAGAAAUUCCAUUCAAAGAGAUAAUUCUCAGAAUUACCUUCUAUAGAAGUCCUUAAGCAGCAAUUGAGUUAAGGCAUUUCAGAGAUCCUGUAGACCUGAUGAUAAAAAUGCAUACAAAAAAAAAGAAGUCCUUCUAUGUAAAACCUUUGACCAUUCCUAUUGUUUUCUAGGGUGACACUUAACUGUCCUUCAACCUAGAGGGCUGACUGGUCUAUUCACCCCUCAUUCCUGGUGGGGCAGACCCACAUUGGGCUUCCCAGGGGCUGAUCUCCCACACAUGUCAUUAAAGCAUGGAAAAGAGAAAGAGAUGGAAAUAAUCAAAACUAAAAGAGGAGGAAAAAAAUCCCCACAAUCACUAUUGGAGAAAAAAAAAAAGUGUAAAACACAUAAAAAAUCCACAGUCACUGUUAUGCUGGUAUCUUUCUUCUCCAUCAUGUCCCCUUAUUUACUUUUUUAUGGUAGUAAUUUUAAUAUACAUGCAAUUUCGUACUCUUUCUCCUAGUGAGGAAACCCUGGUGGCGUAGUGGUUAAGAACUACGGCUGCUAACCAAAAGUUCGGCAGUGUGAAUCUACUAGGUGCUCCUUGGAAACUCUAUGGGGACAGUUCUACUGUGUCCUAUAGGGUCACUAUGACUCGACGGCAAUGGCUUUGGUUUGGGCUGGACUCGUAGUGAACAUUUUAUCAGGAUCAUCUUUCCACAUUGCCAGAUAGCCCUUGUACAUCUCACAAAUGUCUCUUUGUAUUGUCCGUAUAUAUAAUUGUUGCCUUAAAUUGUAGAAUCACUGGGUUAAAGGCUUUCGGCAUUUUGAUGGCUCUUAAUAUAUAUUGAUAAAUUGAUUUUCAAAAAAAUAGUAAUUUUCAAGAUUAAGUAUAUUGAUUUUAUAUUUCCAAAUGCUUAUUUUAAAAGGUGUCUCUCUCCAUUUUGGUUUAAAUUGAAUUUAUUUAAUUACUAGCUGGCUUGAGCAAAAUGAUAUUGUUGGGCAAAACACUUCUAUAUUUUUGGCUAGAAAUAUUUAGUUUUCUCAUUAAUAGAAAACACAGCCCAUUUUAUCUCUGGGGUUUUAGUGUUGUGUAAGCUCGAUAAUAAUAAAGAUAUUAAACUCUUGGUCAUGUUUGCCACAAAAGUUUUUCCUCUUUUUUUUUUUUUUUUAACAUGGC